AGAGAUUUCCACAGAAGGACUGGGAUGAUACACCUUUUCCACAGGGAAUUGAGUUGUUUUGUCAGCCUGGCGGGUGGCAGCUGUCCAGAGAGAGGAAGCAGCCAACGUUCUUUGUGGUUGUCCUGACAGAUAUUGACUCAGAUCGACAUUACUGCUCAUGCCUAACCUUCUAUGAGGCAGAGAUCAAUCUUCAGGGAACAAAGAAGGAAGAGAUUGAAGGUGAAGCAGAAGUGUCUGGUUUAAUUCAGCCUGCCGAAGUGUUUGCUCCCAAAAGCCUGGUGUUGGUAUCCAGAUUAUAUUAUCCAGAAAUUUUUAGGGCUUGCCUGGGUUUGAUCUAUACCGUGUAUGUGGACAGCCUGAACGUCUCCUUGGAAAGUCUAAUUGCAAACCUUUGUGCCUGCCUUGUCCCAGCGGCUGGAGGGUCUCAGAAGCUGUUUUCUUUGGGUGCAGGAGAUAGACAGCUGAUCCAGACUCCUUUACAUGAUAGUCUUCCUGUCACGGGCACUAGCGUGGCUCUCCUGUUCCAGCAAUUGGGAAUUCAAAAUGUCCUCAGCCUCUUUUGUGCAGUCCUCACAGAAAAUAAGGUUCUCUUCCAUUCUGCAAGUUUCCAGAGACUUAGCGAUGCUUGUAGAGCCCUGGAAUCUUUAAUGUUUCCUCUUAAAUAUAGUUAUCCUUAUAUCCCUAUUCUCCCGGCUCAGCUACUGGAAGUUCUAAGUUCCCCAACACCUUUCAUUAUUGGAGUACAUUCUAUCUUUAAAACUGAUAUCCAUGAACUUUUAGAUGUAAUCAUAGCAGAUUUGGAUGGAGGCACUAUUAAAAUUCCUGAAUGUAUUCACCUCUCUUCCCUCCCAGAACCACUUCUACAUCAGACUCAAUCAGCUCUUUCUUUGAUUUUACACCCAGAUUUGGAAGUAGCAGAUCAUGCUUUUCCUCCUCCACGAACAGCUUUAUCCCACUCAAAAAUGCUGGAUAAAGAGGUGCGAGCCGUUUUCCUUAGAUUAUUUGCACAACUCUUCCAAGGAUAUAGAUCCUGCCUGCAACUUAUAAGAAUUCAUGCAGAGCCAGUAAUACAUUUCCACAAGACAGCAUUCUUGGGGCAGCGUGGUUUGGUCGAGAAUGAUUUCCUCACUAAAGUACUCAAUGGAAUGGCAUUUGCAGGUUUUGUUUCAGAAAGAGGUCCUCCUUAUAGAUCUUGUGAUCUCUUUGAUGAGUUGGUAGCCUUUGAAGUAGAGAGAAUUAAAGUUGAAGAAAAUAACCCAGUGAAGAUGAUAAAGCAUGUCAGAGAACUUGCUGAGCAACUAUUCAAAAAUGAGAAUCCAAAUCCUCAUAUGGCAUUCCAGAAAGUUCCACGGCCAACAGAAGGAUCCCACUUGCGAGUUCAUAUUCUUCCUUUCCCAAAGAUUAAUGAAGCCCGGGUUCAGGAAUUAAUACAGGAAAAUGUUGCUAAGAACCAGAAUGCACCUCCUGCCACACGAAUAGAAAAGAAAUGUGUUGUGCCAGCAGGUCCACCUGUUGUUUCGAUAAUGGACAAGGUGACGACAGUUUUCAACAGUGCACAAAGACUAGAAGUUGUCAGAAACUGUAUCUCAUUCAUAUUUGAAAAUAAAAUUUUGGAAACUGAAAAGACCCUUCCUGCUGCACUCAGAGCCCUUAAAGGAAAGGCAGCAAGACAGUGUCUCACUGAUGAAUUGGGUUUGCAUGUCCAGCAAAACCGGGCUAUAUUAGACCAUCAACAGUUUGACUACAUAAUAAGGAUGAUGAAUUGUACUCUACAGGAUUGUUCAAGUUUAGAAGAAUACAACAUUGCCGCAGCAUUACUCCCUUUGACUAGUGCUUUCUAUAGGAAACUUGCCCCUGGAGUCAGCCAGUUUGCUUACACAUGUGUACAAGACCACCCCAUUUGGACAAAUCAGCAGUUUUGGGAGACAACCUUUUACAAUGCAGUGCAGGAACAGGUUCGCUCCCUUUAUCUCUCAGCCAAGGAAGACAAUCAUGCCCCGCAUCUGAAGCAAAAGGACAAGCUUCCUGAUGACCAUUAUCAGGAGAAGACAGCAAUGGACCUGGCAGCUGAGCAACUACGCCUUUGGCCUACCCUGAGCAAGUCAACUCAGCAAGAGCUAGUGCAACAUGAGGAAAGCACUGUCUUUAGUCAGGCCAUUCACUUUGCAAACCUCAUGGUGAACCUGCUAGUUCCACUCGACACAAGUAAAAACAAACUCCUAAGAACAUCAGCGCCAGGUGACUGGGAGAGCGGAAGCAACAGCAUUGUCACAAACAGUAUUGCAGGAAGUGUAGCUGAGAGCUAUGAUACAGAGAGUGGGUUUGAAGAUUCAGAGAAUAAUGACAUUGCCAAUUCUGUUGUGCGGUUCAUUACCCGAUUUAUUGACAAAGUUUGUACAGAGAGUGGAGUUACUCAGGAUCACAUCAAGAGCCUUCAUUGCAUGAUACCAGGAAUUGUAGCUAUGCACAUUGAGACCCUAGAAGCAGUACAUCGAGAAAGCAGAAGACUUCCGCCUAUUCAGAAGCCCAAGAUUCUUAGACCUGCUCUGCUGCCGGGAGAAGAAAUUGUCUGUGAGGGUCUUCGAGUCUUGCUGGAUCCUGAUGGAAGAGAAGAAGCUACUGGAGGUCUUCUUGGAGGCCCUCAGCUCCUGCCAGCAGAAGGAGCCUUGUUCCUCACCACAUACAGAAUUCUCUUCAGAGGAACACCCCAUGAUCAGUUAGUGGGUGAGCAGACAGUUGUGCGGAGCUUUCCCAUUGCCUCCAUCACCAAGGAGAAGAAGAUUACAAUGCAGAACCAGCUACAGCAGAACAUGCAAGAAGGACUGCAGAUCACAUCAGCAUCUUUUCAGUUGAUUAAGGUAGCAUUUGAUGAAGAAGUCAGUCCAGAAGUAGUAGAGAUCUUUAAGAAGCAGCUGAUGAAGUUCCGUUAUCCUCAGUCCAUUUUCAGUACCUUUGCUUUUGCUGCUGGACAAACUACCCCACAAAUAAUUUUACCAAAACAGAAGGAAAAGAACACUUCUUUUCGUACCUUCUCAAAAACAAUUGUGAAAGGUGCCAAAAGGGCAGGGAAAAUGACAAUUGGGCGGCAAUAUUUACUGAAGAAGAAGACAGGGACAAUUGUGGAAGAGAGAGUAAAUCGUCCUGGAUGGAAUGAAGAUGAUGAUGUAUCUGUUUCAGAUGAGAGUGAGCUCCCCACAAGUACCACCCUGAAGGCCUCCGAGAAGUCUACAAUGGAACAGUUGGUGGAAAAAGCUUGUUUCAGAGACUAUCAGCGUUUAGGUUUAGGAACCAUAAGUGGCAGCUCUUCUCGUUCAAGACCCGAGUAUUUUCGAAUUACUGCCUCCAACAGGAUGUAUUCACUCUGCCGGAGGUAAGUGUGUCAGUGGGCUCCAAAAAGAGGUCUUCUUUCCUUUCUUCUUAUUUGAAUCUUUAAUAGGCCGUUUGCAUCCAUAGCCCUGAGAUAGAUAAAAAUGCCUGAAAAUAAGAACAAGGUCUCCAGGAUAUGAGCAAGCAUCUCAUGGGCGUUCUCGGAACAAUUACCUUACUGAAAGUACCUCUAGUAGGUGAGAAGGUGAAAGGUAAAGUACUCACCCCCUAUGAAUUUCUCUUGUCUUUCUCUUCCCAGUUUGCUUCUUUUCUAGCAUGACUAAAGAUAACUUGAAGAACAGGAUUUUCCCAGGCCAAUAGAAGACAUGAAAGUUCUUUGUAGGCUGGGGAGCCACAAACUCUUUCUAUAAAGGGUCAGUUGGUAAAUAUUUUCAGUUUAUGAGCCAUAGAGUCUCUUGUUGCAACUAUUCAACUGUGCCGCAAAAGCAGCCACAGACAGUAAGGAAAUGAGUGGACAUGGCCAGUUUUGGCCCACAGGCUAUAAUUUGCUGACCCAGGUGUAGGCAAGGCUUUCUUAUGCGGUCUAAUUGGAAUGUUUUCAAGGGAAUAUUACUUAAAGGAUGUAAAUAAAGAGGCAUUUUUUUUUUCUGUUCUUGUCUCUCACUGUUUUUCAAAUAUGUUAAGGCUUAUUCCAUGCUUUACUAUAUGUAAAUGUAUAUUUUCUAAAAUUACAUUUUCACCAUUCACAAUUUUAGUCAUUUUCAUCUCCAGGUAAGUUUUUUCUUUGCAUUUAUAAAUUCCUGCUUAAACAGCUCGAAAGCACUUUGUAAAUUACAUAUUUUAGAAAGUUAUCUUAAUGUUACUGUUAGUUUCAACCCUGUUGCUCUUAAAGAUAGAUAUGUCAUUUUAAAUGACAGUUUAAGUUUACAAAUAUUAAUAUGAAACUUGAGAAACAAGUUGGGAAUAUAGUUUUGAGAUUAUGGCCAAAUAUUACAUUUUGCAUCAAGUUCUGAAAAAUUGACACUCUGAGUAUGCAGUAAUUUUUCUGGAAUUCUCUGUCAUUCUAACUAAAUUUUCUCUGAAGAUGAGUCAUGUUGUCAGGGUGUGAUGUCCUGCUGUUUGGAAAGUUUGCUAUCAAAAUUAUGCCAGCCAUUGAGAAAACAGACUCAUUUAUCAUUCCAAUCUGUCAGAAGUCAAAUAAAAUUUUAAUAGAUGACUUAUUAGAACACUGGUUAUAAAGCAUUUAUGAUGGUAAAAAGUAAUAUAUAUCCAUUAAGUUAUUAGCAGGAAGGAAAUGGAAUAAUAAAAAAUAAUCCAAAAGAAGGCAAGAAAGGAAAAAAAAGGGGACAUAGAACAAAUGGAAUAAAUAACAAGUAGUAAGAUGGUAGAUUUAAAUUCAAAUAUAUCCAUAAUUGCAUUAAUUAUUAAUUGACAAAUGUUCCAAUUCAAAGAAAGAGAUCAGGGUUUGCUUUAAAAAAAAAAAA
Molecule: small RNA, 4811 nt
Filed under: Pongo abelii (Sumatran orangutan)
Lineage: Eukaryota; Metazoa; Chordata; Mammalia; Primates; Hominidae
Description: retained intron
Source: RNAcentral